GAGACAGGUGGGGUACUCGGGAAGCUGGAGCGGGCCGGCGGUGCAGUCGCGGGGGAGCGAGGCCUGCUGAGCUUGGCAACGAGGGACUCGGCCUCGGAGGCGACCCAGACCACACAGACACUGGGUCAAGGAGUAAGCAGAGGAUAAACAACUGGAAGGAGAGCAAGCACAAAAGUCAUCAUGGCUUCAGCGUCUGCUCGUGGAAACCAAGAUAAAGAUCCCCAUUUUCCACCACCAAGCAAGCAGGUUAUUUGGCAGCUAAUUCUAGAUUUGGAUCAUUGCCCAAAGUUGCACGCACUGCCUCCUUACCUGUGAGGAAUGCAAAAUAAAGCAUGGAUUAAGUGAGAAGGGAGACUCUCAGGCUUCAGCUUCCUAAAUUCUGUGUCUGUGACUUUCGAAGUUUUUUAAACCUCUGAAUUUGUACACAUUUAAAAUUUCAAGUGUACUUUAAAAUAAAAUA
This 460-nucleotide small RNA is filed under the name Pan troglodytes (chimpanzee). RNAcentral describes it as "processed transcript". Lineage: Eukaryota; Metazoa; Chordata; Mammalia; Primates; Hominidae. The record is from RNAcentral.